AAGUCGUAACAAGGUUUCCGUAGGUGAACCUGCGGGAAGGAUCAUUACCGAAUCGUCGACACGAGUUGUUGCUGGCCCUCAAACGGGGGCAUGUGCACGCUCUGUUUGCAUCCACUCACACCUGUGCACCCUCUGUAGUUCUGUGGUCUGGGGGACCCCUCCUGCCUGCGGUUCUAUGUCUUUACACACACACUGUAACAUGGUCUUAUGGAAUGCAUGCAGCGUUUAACGCAAUAAAAUACAACUUUCAGCAACGGAUCUCUUGGCUCUCGCAUCGAUGAAGAACGCAGCGAAAUGCGAUAAGUAAUGUGAAUUGCAGAAUUCAGUGAAUCAUCGAAUCUUUGAACGCACCUUGCGCCCUUUGGCCAUUCCGAAGGGCAUGCCUGUUUGAGUAUCAUGAACACCUCAACUCUCAUGGCUUGCCAUGAUGAGCUUGGACUUUGGAGGCUUUACUGGCCCGUGGUCGGCUCCUCUCAAAUGAAUCAGCUUACCGGUGCACGGUGGCGUUGCAGGUGUGAUAACUAUCUACGCUUGCGAUCGUCCGCCAGGUAACCUCUGGCAUCGUUGGAGGUUCGCUGGGGCUUACAAAUGUCUCUCCUCAGCGAAGACNGAUUUCUGAACGUUUGAUCUCAAAUCAGGUAGGACUACCCGCUGAACUUAA
RNAcentral lists this ribosomal RNA (661 nucleotides) under uncultured fungus. RNAcentral describes it as "eukaryotic LSU rRNA". The stretch from base 243 to 397 matches the Rfam family "5.8S ribosomal RNA". The record is from RNAcentral. Lineage: Eukaryota; Fungi.